Non-coding RNA from Sus scrofa (pig), 46 nucleotides. NCBI's taxonomy places the organism in Eukaryota, Metazoa, Chordata, Mammalia, Artiodactyla, Suidae. The record is from Rfam.
CAGAUGGAUCUUUUCAGAUCCACAAAAAGUAUUUAAAUGAAAUAUU